Molecule: ribosomal RNA, 422 nt
Filed under: uncultured bacterium
Lineage: Bacteria
Description: bacterial SSU rRNA
Rfam family: Bacterial small subunit ribosomal RNA
Source: RNAcentral
UAGGGAAUAUUGGGCAAUGGACGAAAGUCUGACCCAGCCAUGCCGCGUGCAGGAUGACGGCCCUAGUGGUUGUAAACUGCUUUUAUACGGGAAGAAAAGUUCCAACGUGUUGGAAUGUGACUGUACCGUAUGAAUAAGCAUCGGCUAACUCCGUGCCAGCAGCCGCGGUAAUACGGAGGAUGCAAGCGUUAUCCGGAUUCAUUGGGUUUAAAGGGUGCGCAGGCGGAUUGGUAAGUCAGUGGUGAAAUCCUCUCGCUUAACGGGAGAAUUGCCGUUGAUACUAUCAAUCUUGAGUAUAAUUGAAGUGGGCGGAAUGUGUCAUGUAGCGGUGAAAUGCAUAGAUAUGACACAGAACACCGAUUGCGAAGGCAGCUCACUAAAUUAUAACUGACGCUGAGGCACGAAAGCGUGGGGAGCAAACA